RNAcentral lists this ribosomal RNA (753 nucleotides) under uncultured Comamonadaceae bacterium. RNAcentral describes it as "bacterial SSU rRNA". It matches the Rfam family "Bacterial small subunit ribosomal RNA", at positions 28 to 776 of the family's 1533-position model. Lineage: Bacteria; Pseudomonadati; Pseudomonadota; Betaproteobacteria; Burkholderiales; Comamonadaceae. The record is from RNAcentral.
AUUGAACGCUGGCGGCAUGCCUUACACAUGCAAGUCGAACGGCAGCACGGGAGCAAUCCUGGUGGCGAGUGGCGAACGGGUGAGUAAUACAUCGGAACGUGCCCAAUCGUGGGGGAUAACGCAGCGAAAGCUGUGCUAAUACCGCAUACGAUCUACGGAUGAAAGCAGGGGAUCGCAAGACCUUGCGCGAAUGGAGCGGCCGAUGGCAGAUUAGGUAGUUGGUGAGGUAAAGGCUCACCAAGCCGUCGAUCUGUAGCUGGUCUGAGAGGACGACCAGCCACACUGGGACUGAGACACGGCCCAGACUCCUACGGGAGGCAGCAGUGGGGAAUUUUGGACAAUGGGCGAAAGCCUGAUCCAGCCAUGCCGCGUGCAGGAUGAAGGCCUUCGGGUUGUAAACUGCUUUUGUACGGAACGAAACGGCCUUUUCUAAUAAAGAGGGCUAAUGACGGUACCGUAAGAAUAAGCACCGGCUAACUACGUGCCAGCAGCCGCGGUAAUACGUAGGGUGCAAGCGUUAAUCGGAAUUACUGGGCGUAAAGCGUGCGCAGGCGGUUAUGUAAGACAGUUGUGAAAUCCCCGGGCUCAACCUGGGAACUGCAUCUGUGACUGCAUAGCUAGAGUACGGUAGAGGGGGAUGGAAUUCCGCGUGUAGCAGUGAAAUGCGUAGAUAUGCGGAGGAACACCGAUGGCGAAGGCAAUCCCCUGGACCUGUACUGACGCUCAUGCACGAAAGCGUGGGGAGCAAAAAGG